This 482-nucleotide ribosomal RNA is filed under the name uncultured bacterium. Its description in RNAcentral is "bacterial SSU rRNA". It matches the Rfam family "Bacterial small subunit ribosomal RNA", at positions 28 to 507 of the family's 1533-position model. The record is from RNAcentral.
GAUGAACGCUAGCUACAGGCUUAACACAUGCAAGUCGAGGGCAGCACAGUGUAGCAAUACAUGGGUGGCGACCGGCGCACGGGUGCGUAACGCGUAUCCAACCUUCCCGUUACUCUUGGAUAGCCUUCCGAAAGGGAGAUUAAUACAAGAUGGUAUUCAAAUUCGCAUGUUAUUUGAAUUAAAGAUUUAUCGGUAACGGAUGGGGAUGCGUGACAUUAGGUAGAUGGCGGGGUAACGGCCCACCAUGCCUACGAUGUCUAGGGGUUCUGAGAGGAAGGUCCCCCACACUGGAACUGAGACACGGUCCAGACUCCUACGGGAGGCAGCAGUGAGGAAUAUUGGUCAAUGGGCGAGAGCCUGAACCAGCCAAGUCGCGUGAGGGAAGACGGUACUAAGUAUUGUAAACCUCUUUUGUCAGGGAACAAAGAGACCACGUGUGGUAAGAUGAGUGUACCUGAAGAAAAGCAUCGGCUAACUCCGUG